Molecule: ribosomal RNA, 363 nt
Filed under: Triticum aestivum (bread wheat)
Lineage: Eukaryota; Viridiplantae; Streptophyta; Magnoliopsida; Poales; Poaceae
Description: partial small subunit ribosomal RNA
Source: RNAcentral
AUGAACCACACACCUCCACACAAUGAGGAAGAUGCUGGCAACAAGAGGAAGCUGGACAUCGCUAGGUUCGACGACCCGUCUGAUUCUGACGACGACGAGGAGUACAACUCUGGAGAUGAGGUGGAAGAGUGGAACCACAAGUCCUUCAUUGAGCAUGAAGCCAACAAGAUCAGGGAGAAGGGGAAGGCGGCGUACUACAAGUGGGGCAAGUUCAGGUGCCCAUACUGCACCACUAAGCCAAUUCCCAAGGAUGGGCUGUAUGAGCACCUUAUGUCGCAUGCACGCGGUUUAGCGAAGAGUGGGAGCGAUGUGAAGAUCAGGGCAGAGCAUGCAGCCCUCCUGAAGGCUGUGGGUCCCAUCUAG